This is a long non-coding RNA of Uloborus diversus, 709 nucleotides long. RefSeq lists it as uncharacterized. The transcript is spliced from 4 exons. Lineage: Eukaryota; Metazoa; Arthropoda; Arachnida; Araneae; Uloboridae. The record is from RefSeq and is a predicted model, not a curated record.
UUCAUAACUUUUCUCAGGUUCCUUUUCCUAAUUUCGAAGCAAGAGUAAACAGUAAGCAAAGGGCAACUGAACUUUUGUAGAAGUUAAUAAAUGGCAAGUGGUCUUAACAAGCUACAAUCCCAAGUAUUAAAAAAGCUGCUGCCAUGCUUGAAACAUUCCUUAUUUAAUGAUUCUACGAAUUUUGGAUCUAAAUGCAGAACUGUAAUGACUAUUAGCUUCAAUGCAGGCUUUCCAGUCAAUGAUGCUUUUGUUAUUCAAGGGCAAGAAAAGCUUCACAAACGAAGGACUUCAUUGACAUUAAAAGAAAAAGAAAAGGGAGAUUGGAGAAAUCUUACACUAGCUGAAAAGAAAGAAUUGUAUCAAUUAAGCUUUAACCAACCCUUUUGUGAAGCAAUUGAAAGUUCCGAAGAAGAAUGGAAACUCAUAUUAGCUGGUGCUUUUACUGCUAUGGGGUUAAUGACAUUAGGAAUUUAUAUGUGGCUGUCACAAAGAGUGUUCAAUAAAAUUUAUGAUGAGCCUCUGCAAUUUCAAAAUGAACUGCCACUCAAGAACCGUACAAAUGAGUUCUUUACUCUGAAUAUCAAUGCCGAUGUAGACUACAAGAAAUAAUUUCCUCACAACACAGUUUGAGUAGUGUAAGUGCUAUUCAGUUGUAAACAUGUUCAUUCUUUCAGUUUUUCUUUUGCCAUUAAAAACAUUUUUACAUCUU